UUAUGAAUGAAAUGACAUUUGCGAUUCUGUAUCUAAUGAGAUGAUAUCCUUGAAUCUCUUGGAUUCUGUCUUGCAUUGUGAUAUCUUGUUUGUUUGAAACUGUCCCUUCUCAUGCUAUAUAUGCUUUGUUAUUUGCUGAGCUGUUUCUAGCUCACUCCGUUGUUAUAUAAAUCUUUCAGGUUAGCUUGUCACUCUUUGAGAUGUUUGAAUUGGGCUGAGGCAGUGGAGAGUUAUUCUGAAUUAUGAGCAAGUCUUGUUGGUUAUUAUGUUAUUGUUGUAUAAGCAUAUUUUGUAUGAAAUGAAAUGUUGUCGAUGAAUCGAAAUGGAUAUACUGUGUAAAAGUGUUAGAAGAUCUCUCUUAUAUGGAAUUUCAGAAUGUUAAGUCUAAUUUAUGAUGAUAUGAACUUGUGGUGAAUAGUUGGAGUUAUGAUUGUAUAAUUUAUUUAGCUUAUGGAUUUAUAAAUGUUGUUCAUGUUUGUCAAGUUGGCUUGGGUUGCCAUAAAUGUGAAUUAUCGAGUGAUGUGAUAUAUGAUUAUAAAC
This 540-nucleotide long non-coding RNA is filed under the name Musa acuminata (dwarf banana). RNAcentral describes it as "long non-coding RNA (MACU_LNC004027)". Lineage: Eukaryota; Viridiplantae; Streptophyta; Magnoliopsida; Zingiberales; Musaceae. The record is from RNAcentral.